GGGUGAGACCUGCUGUACCCGGCUGGCGUAAGUAUCUCACCGUCUUUCACAGACACACCUUUUCUCCUCCUUCUUUUCCUCAGCUUUCUCACCCAUCUUUUGUCAGGUUUAAGGACAGAUUGCAUCCUGCAGUAUUGUGCAUGGAAGAAUUGCCUCAGAUUGCUUAUAUACUUUACUGAUCUCACAAGUCUGUUAGACUACAGUAGCACAAAGCUGUCAAUAUAUUCCACAUGGAUAAAGUUCUGUUAGAGUAAAAUUGGAUCGAUCUGAAGGGGAACUAAUCAGAGCUGCUCCUGGAAGUGUUUUUUUUUUUUUUUUUUUUUUAAACUUGCUAGUUUAUUAGUAGUGCUGUGCCAACUGCCCUUUUUUCCACUUUCUUUUGGCAAACUGUUGCUAAGCAAGCAAAUUGAGGGAGCAAAAACUAGUUGCUAGAUCGCAGUUCCAGUUAAAAAAUUAUUUUAAUCUCGUUUUAUGGUUGUUUUCCUCAUAUCACAAUUAUAAAUGUGCUAUUGCUAUCAGUUUGCGAACUAGAGGUUUAUCAUUUGAACACAGUUUUUAAGUUUAUCUAGUUGGGUAGUGAGUGCACACAACUGCUACACAUGGUACAAGGACAAAGCCAAUCAUUGCUUGGGAGCUAAUGAAUUUUGAAAAGCAAGACAUCCUAACUACAUCUAAUAGUAUUCCGUCUUUAUUUUUUCUUUCCUCUCUCUCUGAGUUUCCGUUCUCUCCCUCUCUACCCACUUUUCUGUGUUAGCUGUUGAAGUGCUUUCUUCCGCCCCUGUGGGAGCUCACAAACAGCUGACUCAUUCAUUCCCGCUUCGCGCUCUGCUUUCAUUUUUUACAUUAUUCAAACAAAUGUGUUGCUUUCUUUCUUAGACACAAGACAGCACAGGGGCCGCGACCCCAGCGGACUUAUUUCAGUACACACAUGCAAACACACCUGCAUAAAAAACUUGCUCACGAGCAGAAAUGCAUUACACAGAAACUUUAAUCUUAAAUUUAAACUGAUUCACUCUCAACCGCAGGAGCGAUAAGGCUAGUUGGCACACGUGGAUGGCACGCUGUUGUUUAUCUGUAGUCUCACUGUCCAUCUGUUAUUUCA
This is a long non-coding RNA of Astatotilapia calliptera (eastern happy), 1102 nucleotides long. The record is from Ensembl. Lineage: Eukaryota; Metazoa; Chordata; Actinopteri; Cichliformes; Cichlidae.